This 484-nucleotide ribosomal RNA is filed under the name uncultured bacterium. RNAcentral's name for it is "partial 16S ribosomal RNA". It matches the Rfam family "Bacterial small subunit ribosomal RNA", at positions 29 to 507 of the family's 1533-position model. The record is from RNAcentral.
AGUGAACGCUGGCGGCAGGCCUAACACAUGCAAGUCGAGCGGCAGCGCGGGGGCAACCCUGGCGGCGAGCGGCGGACGGGUGAGGAAUUCGUCGGAAUCUGCCUUUUUGUGGGGGAUAACGUAGGGAAACUUACGCUAAUACCGCAUACGUCCUACGGGAGAAAGUGGGGGACCGCAAGGCCUCACGCAGAAAGAUGAGCCGACGACCGAUUAGCUAGUUGGUGGGGUAAAGGCCCACCAAGGCGACGAUCGGUAGCUGGUCUGAGAGGAUGAUCAGCCACACUGGGGCUGAGACACGGCCCAGACUCCUACGGGAGGCAGCAGUGGGGAAUAUUGGACAAAGGGCGCAAGCCUGAUCCAGCCAUGCCGCGUGUGUGAAGAAGGCCUUCGGGUUGUAAAGCACUUUUGUCCGGAAAGAAAUCCCUGGAGCUAAUACCUUCGGGGGAUGACGGUACCGGAAGAAUAAGCACCGGCUAACUUCGUG